GACGAACGCUGGCGGCGUGGAUUAGGCAUGCAAGUCGAACGGUAGGAUACCUUCGGGUAUCUGAGAGUGGCGAACGGGUGAGUAACACGUAGGUGAUCUACCCUCAAGAUUGGGACAACCCAAGGAAACUUGGGCUAAUACCGGAUGAAAGCAGCAGUGAUGUUGUUUGAAAGGUGGCGUAAGCUGCCGUUUGGGGAUGAGCCUGCGCUCUAUUAGUUAGUUGGCGGGGUAAAGGCCCACCAAGGCGAUGAUAGAUAGGCGGCCUUAACGGGUGGUCGCCCACACUGGGAUUGAGAUACGGCCCAGACUCCUACGGGAGGCAGCAGUCGAGAAUAGUCUACAAUGGCCGAAAGGCUGAUAGUGCGACGCCGCGUGAACGAAGAAGCCCUUCGGGGUGUAAAGUUCUUUUAUAUGUGAGCAGUGCUUUCUAUGUGAACAGCAUGGGGAGAGAGAUAUUAGCAUAUGAAUAAGCAACGGCUAACUCCGUGCCAGCACG
Molecule: ribosomal RNA, 496 nt
Filed under: uncultured bacterium
Lineage: Bacteria
Description: bacterial SSU rRNA
Rfam family: Bacterial small subunit ribosomal RNA
Source: RNAcentral